Non-coding RNA from Caranx melampygus (bluefin trevally), 69 nucleotides. NCBI's taxonomy places the organism in Eukaryota, Metazoa, Chordata, Actinopteri, Carangiformes, Carangidae. The record is from the annotation of a GenBank genome assembly.
UCCGACAUGCUCAGUCGGUAGAGCAUGAGACUCUUGAUUACAGGGUCGUGGGUUCAAGCGCUGUAGGCU